UCCGGCUCAAAAUAUCAGACACACACAAUCAAUUAUUUUGGUCACAAUGCUGAUAAUGUUUGAAGGUGUUAGGGAAACAAGCACCAAGUUACUGAUUAACCAUUACUCCAGCCCAUCAAAAAUGAAUAGAAUUUUAAUGUCAUUAAUGAGGAUUGUCCUAAUGAUUAACCACAUGGUGUCUCAUUUUGUGUCCACAUCAACAGAACCAAAACAUGCAGCAUUAAAGAAAUAAGAUCACACAUCAAUGCCUCUUGGAUCAGCAAAUAUUCUGGUUACAUUUAAUUUUCUGAUAUUUUUUGGCUCAAGCCUGAUGUCCAUCUACAGCGUUACAAGAUUUUGCUCAAGUGCCCCAUCACAGUGCUGCCAAAUGUUCUUUGUGCACUUCACAGUAAAAGUCUGUCAUAUCUGUGACAGUGCGUGCAUAUGAACAUGUAGCGUGUCAACAGUCGCGAUGUUUACCAAAAAUAAAUAUCCUGAAGCAAUCAAGUAAUUCACUAAGGCGCAUGCAACAAAGACAAAGAACACAAACUUGAAACAUGAACUGAAAAGUGAAUCUGAAUAUUUCAAAGAGUGAAACCAGCUCAGGCAGUUUAGCAGACUAAGGGCGUUGCAACAAGUGAAAAUGGUUGUGGGUGGUGAACGGUCUGAAGCUGGUGUAAAAAAAAAAAAAAAAACAUUUAAAUCUAAAAUUAAUAAUUUACAGUCAUCCAAUUUGCAACCAGGCCUAACAAAUCCUGACACACACAAAAAAGGGGUGGGGUUUUGUCAUCCAUCAUAACCUCAGACAGCCACCUUUCAUGUAUCUGUCAUGUAAAAAGACUGAACAUGAAAUGUAAAAAUCUCUUCAAGCACUCAAUAGAAGCUGAAAUACUGAUGAAUGCAAGAAAAUUUAAAGUUUGUGACUGAUUUAACAUUUUGUGUGAUCGGAGAGAAAGGUGUUAGUCAUAUUUUGACAAGGAUAACUGACAAAAGCAGUUUUUUAAGAAAAACGUGCUCUUAUUUUUAUUUCCAUCUCUCUUCCCUUAAUGCAGUUGCGCCAAUGAAAAAGAAAACUGCCUGAUUAGCAAAUAUAUUUUUUGUCUGAGUUGUCUGUUUUACUAAUCAAUAAAGUCUUCUGCUAUUUCACAAUACACAGUUUGAAUUUAUUCAAAGCCUACAGCAUUUCAUGAGUUAAACUAGUCUCUCAGUUGGCCAACUUCAGCACAGCAGUGAGCUAAAAUGAACUUGGUGGCACCUUGGCUGAUUUCCCCAGGCACCUUUCACCUGGCUGCAUUCGGUGCCGAGUAUUCCCGAGCAAGAACACCACUCAAUGAGAGUUGGA
This is a long non-coding RNA of Thalassophryne amazonica, 1321 nucleotides long. RefSeq lists it as uncharacterized. The transcript has 2 exons. The record is from RefSeq and is a predicted model, not a curated record. NCBI's taxonomy places the organism in Eukaryota, Metazoa, Chordata, Actinopteri, Batrachoidiformes, Batrachoididae.